Molecule: long non-coding RNA, 508 nt
Organism: Fukomys damarensis (Damara mole-rat)
Lineage: Eukaryota; Metazoa; Chordata; Mammalia; Rodentia; Bathyergidae
Exons: 4
Source: RefSeq, a predicted model, not a curated record
GUGCCUUUAUCCAUCUUAUUCACCGAACCUGACCCUGUGGCUUCUAGCUCUUCCUCAAGGUCAAAGUGAUCCUGAAAGCUGCAAAAUGAAAAUGUGGAAACAUGUACUGGGUCACAAAGGGAACCACAUGACGGGAAUAGCCAUGGAAACCUCAAGUCACUACUGGAAAAACAACUCAAAGAAAUAGCCAGGCACUGUGAAGGCAAAGCAUGUAUGCACAGAUUAUGUAGGAAGCACUGACCAAACACUGUUGACAGGAAUUCAAAAUACCUAGCAUCUUUAAUAUGAGGUUUUACCUGAGAGUCCAAGAUGGCCACUCGGGCUUCCAGGCAGCAGGAAGAAAAAAGGGAUGAAGAAGGACACUUUCUGGAAAUUGUUCGUGAUACUUUUACCUGUUAAUGAUUUUAUUACCAAAGAAUAAGGGGGAAACAACUACUGGGGGACAAUGAGCUUCCUCUUCUGCCCCCUCCUAAAAGGAAUCCUGACUGAGAAGAAAGUCUGUCCUGAA